UGCCAGCAGCCGCGGUAAUACUGAAGGUGCAAGCGUUAAUCGGAAUCACUGGGCGUAAAGCGCUCGUAGGUGGCUUUGUAAGUCAGAUGUGAAAGCCAAUAGCUCAACUAUUGAACUGCAUUUGAAACUGUAAACCUAGAAUAUGGGAGAGGUAGAUGGAAUUUCUGGUGUAGGAGUGAAAUCCGUAGAGAUCAGAAGGAACACCGGUGGCGAAGGCGACUUCCUGGACUAUUACUGACACUGAGGAGCGAAAGCGUGGGGAGCAAACAGGAUUAGAUA
RNAcentral lists this ribosomal RNA (279 nucleotides) under uncultured bacterium. RNAcentral's name for it is "partial 16S ribosomal RNA". It matches the Rfam family "Bacterial small subunit ribosomal RNA", at positions 506 to 784 of the family's 1533-position model. The record is from RNAcentral.